This 503-nucleotide ribosomal RNA is filed under the name uncultured bacterium. Its description in RNAcentral is "partial 16S ribosomal RNA". It matches the Rfam family "Bacterial small subunit ribosomal RNA", at positions 30 to 523 of the family's 1533-position model. The record is from RNAcentral.
AUUGAACGCUGGCGGCAGGCUUAACACAUGCAAGUCGAGCGGGGUGAUGGUGCUUGCACUAUCACUUAGCGGCGGACGGGUGAGUAAUGCUUAGGAAUCUGCCUAUUAGUGGGGGACAACAUCUCGAAAGGGAUGCUAAUACCGCAUACGUCCUACGAGAGAAAGCAGGGGAUCACUUGUGACAUUGCGCUAACAGAUGAGCCUAAGUCGGAUUAGCUAGUUGGUGGGGUAAAGGCCUACCAAGGCGACGAUCUGUAGCGGGUCUGAGAGGAUGAUCCGCCACACUGGGACUGAGACACGGCCCAGACUCCUACGGGAGGCAGCAGUGGGGAAUAUUGGACAAUGGGGGGAACCCUGAUCCAGCCAUGCCGCGUGUGUGAAGAAGGCCUUAUGGUUGUAAAGCACUUUAAGCGAGGAGGAGGCUCUUUUGGUUAAUACCCAAGAUGAGUGGACGUUACUCGCAGAAUAAGCACCGGCUAACUCUGUGCCAGCCGCCGCCGUAA